UGGGGAAUAUUGCACAAUGGGCGAAAGCCUGAUGCAGCAACGCCGCGUGCGGGAUGACGGCCUUCGGGUUGUAAACCGCUUUCAGCAGGGGGCGAAGGUUUUCUGACGGUACCUGCAGAAGAAGCACCGGCUAACUACGUGCCAGCAGCCGCGGUGAUACGUAGGGUGCGAGCGUUGUCCGGAAUUAUUGGGCGUAAAGAGCUUGUAGGCGGUCCGUUGCGUCGGAANUGAAAACUCAGGGCUUAACCCUGAGCCUGCUUUCGAUACGGGCGGACUUGAGGGAUGUAGGGGAGAACGGAAUUCCUGGUGGAGCGGUGGAAUGCGCAGAUAUCAGGAGGAACNCCAGUGGCGAAGGCGGUUCUCUGGACAUUUCCUGACGCUGAGAAGCGAAAGCGUGGGGAGCAAACAGGCUUAGAUACCCUGGUAGUCCACGCCGUAAACGGUGGGCACUAGGUGUGGGACCCAUUCCACGGGUUCCGUGCCGUAGCUAACGCAUUAAGUNCCCCCGCCUGGGGGAGUACGG
This 523-nucleotide ribosomal RNA is filed under the name uncultured bacterium. RNAcentral describes it as "partial 16S ribosomal RNA". It matches the Rfam family "Bacterial small subunit ribosomal RNA", at positions 355 to 885 of the family's 1533-position model. The record is from RNAcentral.